Small nucleolar RNA from Pipistrellus kuhlii (Kuhl's pipistrelle), 127 nucleotides. RefSeq annotates it as small nucleolar RNA SNORA3/SNORA45 family. The record is from RefSeq and is a predicted model, not a curated record. Lineage: Eukaryota; Metazoa; Chordata; Mammalia; Chiroptera; Vespertilionidae. The transcript has a single exon.
UAUGAGAGGCCAGAUAAUAUAAAAAGUGGGUCACCUGCUAGAGUUCUCGGAGAGAAUCUGCUGGUCUUGACUCACUGACGAGGGCAGCAAGUGCCCCCCCUCCGCAGUGCCCAGAUCAGAAACACAG